AGAGUUUGAUCAUGAGCUCAGGACGAACGCUGGCGGCGUGCCUAAUACAUGCAAGUAGAACGAUGAAAUCUGGUGCUUGCACCGGAUGGAUGAGUUGCGAACGGGUGAGUAACGCGUAGGUAACCUACCUCAUAGCGGGGGAUAACUAUUGGAAACGAUAGCUAAUACCGCAUAACAGUCUUUAACUCAUGUUAGAGUCUUGAAAGGGGCAAUUGCUUCACUAUGAGAUGGACCAGCGUUGUAUUAGCUAGUUGGUGAGGUAACGGCUCACCAAGGCGACGAUACAUAGCCGACCUGAGAGGGUGAUCGGCCACACUGGGACUGAGACACGGCCCAGACUCCUACGGGAGGCAGCAGUAGGGAAUCUUCGGCAAUGGGGGCAACCCUGACCGAGCAACGCCGCGUGAGUGAAGAAGGUUUUCGGAUCGUAAAGCUCUGUUGUAAGAGAAGAACGUGUGUGAGAGUGGAAAGUUCACACAGUGACGGUAUCUCUACCAGAAAGGGACGGCUAACUACGUGCCAGCAGCCGCGGUAAUACGUAGGUCCCGAGCGUUGUCCGGAUUUAUUGGGCGUAAAGCGAGCGCAGGCGGUUUGAUAAGUCUGAAGUUAAAGGCUGUGGCUCAACCAUAGUACGCUUUGGAAACUGUCAAACUUGAGUGCAGAAGGGGAGAGUGGAAUUCCAUGUGUAGCGGUGAAAUGCGUAGAUAUACGGAGGAACACCGGUGGCGAAAGCGGCUCUCUGGUCUGUAACUGACGCUGAGGCUCGAAAGCGUGGGUAGCGAACAGGAUUAGAUACCCUGGUAGUCCACGCCGUAAACGAUGAGUGCUAGGUGUUAGGCCCUUUCCGGGGCUUAGUGCCGCAGCU
Molecule: ribosomal RNA, 865 nt
Filed under: uncultured bacterium
Lineage: Bacteria
Description: bacterial SSU rRNA
Rfam family: Bacterial small subunit ribosomal RNA
Source: RNAcentral